CUGAUUAUAAUCUAGUGGUGCAUAGAACACACAAUAAAAUAAUAAUUAUAAUAAUUAAAACUGUGACUAGUGCUAUAAGGGUCAAGACAAUAGAGUCUAUUUGAAAAGCAAUGUGAUACUCUUAACUUGAUUUUAUGAGUAGAGGGAGCCAAUGAAAACUUCUUUGAAGAAAAAUAGUUAUUUAAGCAAGGACCUGAGGGAUACUAUGUUAACAGGACAAAGAGAAAGCAGCAUAAGGAAUACAGGCAGAAAGAGCAGCCUAGGUGAAAGCUCUGAGGUGGAGAGAGAAGUUAGCAUGUUUGGGGAACUGAAGGUUCAUAUAGUUAGGACAGAGUGUUAGGGUGAUAAUGGCUCUAAAUACAGUUGCAGAGGUAGGCAGGGACCCUAUCUUUGCAGAGCCUUGUGGUUGUGGUAAGAAGUUUAUGUUUUAAGCAUAAUCAAAAGCUAAAAAUGAAAGUCUGAUAUGUGCAUGAGGAAUCAUAUAGACAUUAUCUUUCUACCACAGGUGGUGCCAAAAAUAAAAAGCAGAUUAAUUUUAAAUGGGAUGAUUUUAUUGAAUUGUAGACUAAAGAACUACAUAGACCAAUGCGCCAUAUUCUAUCUUGCCUUUUCUUGGCUUCCUUCUAGGAAACUCAUUAUUUUUGGCUACAGAAAAUUACCACAGCCACCCCAACCCUCAACAACCACCACCCUGAUCAGUCAGCAGUCAUUAACAUCAGGACAAGAUCCCCCACCAGCAAAAAGACUACAACUCAGAUGAUCACUGGCAUUUUUUGGUUAAGAGAUGGUUGCUUAUACCAGAAAGAAAAUGAGAACUACUAAUAAUACUUCAUUUUUAUUCAUCAAAGAGAAUAAUUACAGAACUGAAGAAGAGAGAGCAAACACGGUAAAAACAUAGUACAAACAAGAUAAAACAUACUCAAAGCAGAACAGAUGGAGGCAAGAGUCGUCAAAACUACUAAGAACCCAG
Molecule: long non-coding RNA, 970 nt
Filed under: Papio anubis (olive baboon)
Lineage: Eukaryota; Metazoa; Chordata; Mammalia; Primates; Cercopithecidae
Description: lncRNA (ENSPANG00000046288.1)
Source: RNAcentral